Molecule: long non-coding RNA, 689 nt
Filed under: Homo sapiens (human)
Lineage: Eukaryota; Metazoa; Chordata; Mammalia; Primates; Hominidae
Description: non-protein coding lnc-GUSB-7:3
Source: RNAcentral
UUGGCGUGCGGAGCUGGCACUUUGGCGCUGUUGGCGACGGUGGGGAGAGCUGUAGAGUGUGAAGUUCCUUGUCUGCUGGCAGCCAGAGGCGACGAGUCUGGACCUCAUGGAAGUCCAGACUCUAGUCUGGACGCGUCCCUUUUGGUACGCGAGGAGCCUAACAGUUGGACCUCUGAGAGCCGAGAGCCGUGGGGACUGGGCGACCCUCGUACGGAAGUGAGGGCAGGGGGCUGGCUGGCCCUGUCCGGGAGGGCCCCGGGAUAGGGACAGGGACGAACGGGACUCAAGCCCCUCCGAACCUCCACAACCUGUGUCUGGGGUGCGGGGCCGAGCACCUCCGUGUCCGGCUGCCUUUCAAUGUGCCCCCUCCUUCUCUCAUUCAUUUACCAGCGUUUCUGGGUCACAGUGCGGGGGUGGAGCCCAGCCUGGUAUCCGACCCGGGACUUAGCAGGCUGUAAAGGCCUGAGUCUGUCCGCCCUGAAAGUAGGUGGAGGAGAGACGAAUCAGGUCCAGGUAGAGCUCUGCUUGCCCCACCGGGCCCUGGGGAGCCCUCACUCCGAAGAGCUGCCCUCAGAGUUUGAUGGGAACAGUCAACACUGUGAGGGAAGGGGCGAGUUUUUGGGUGGAGAAGGGAAGGAUGUGAGCCAGGACUGGGACCGGAGAAACAGCACGGGGUGUGUGGGUGUGUA